This 1007-nucleotide long non-coding RNA is filed under the name Sus scrofa (pig). RNAcentral's name for it is "lncRNA (ENSSSCG00030005581.1)". The record is from RNAcentral. Lineage: Eukaryota; Metazoa; Chordata; Mammalia; Artiodactyla; Suidae.
AUGUCUCAUUUAACAGAUGAGGAAACUGACAUUCAAGAGCCUAAUCAAGUUGCUAGGGUUGUCCAUACACUUCCUGGAGGAGUCAGAAAUAGAACUCAGACAACUGAACUCAGGCACCUGAACCCAGGCCAGCAUCCUUCCCAGACUGGACUUCAGUUCAUGUCUGAGAGCCCUGUCCUAACAGUGUGUGGUGUGCUGUUAACCUGACAUGGAAGUCCCAUGGAGAUCCAGGGAAGAAUGGUGGCAAGUCCCAGGCUGGCGAGCAAGCAGGUGUUGCUACUGAGGAGCCCACCCAGCUCAUUGCUUUCUUGCUGACCCUGAAAUCUGAGGGUAAGUUUUACUCCCCAAUCCAAGCUCUGCUCAUUUUGCAUUUUGAAGAUCUUCAGAUUUUUGCAGGAUCUGUUUAAAGGCUUUGUCCUCUCUUUCUUAAGGCCUUAUUUUGUCUGGGAGUCCUGGUUUGGCAUUUCAGUGUGACUCUUUUGAAAUCAGGCUAUUCCUACUGUAACUGCUGUAACUUCUGUCCAACUCCUUUGGGGAUGGGGCUGAUCCUAUUGGGACUGUACUGGUCAGCUCUUUGACCUGACUCUUUUGGGAUCAGACUGUUUCUAAAGGAACUGUGCUGGUAUUUGGCCUACAGGCUAUUUAAGAACUAUUCUCUGCUCUAGGGAAAAACCUCUGAAAAUGGGAUCCCAGUUAUCUAAAUGUUUUGAGGGCACUACCCCCACCUUCAUGAACCCCAGACAAUUUUAGUUUAAAAGCCAUAGUUCUCACUCAAGUUCAUUUGGUUAAAUGACUUAACCAAAAGUAACUUAGAACAUCAAUGGCCAUCAUGGGGAAACAUUUGAGCUCGCCAAACUUACCUUUCUUAAAAUCCAUUAGACAGCCAUGUUUAUUGCCCAGGGGUCCUGGACAAAGCUCCAUCCUUGGGUUUGUCACAGGUAAAAUGGGAAUAUUGCAGGGUAUAACUACAAAUGAUAAUAAAGCCCUGAGCCUUUAUUCUGAAAUCA